This 113-nucleotide ribosomal RNA is filed under the name Aspergillus wentii DTO 134E9. The record is from RNAcentral. Lineage: Eukaryota; Fungi; Ascomycota; Eurotiomycetes; Eurotiales; Aspergillaceae.
ACAUACGACCACAGGGUGUGGAGAAUAGGGCUUCCCGUCCGCUCAGCCGUACUUAAGCCACACAUGCCAGCGGUUAGUAGUUGGGUGCCAGUAAAUCCCUGCUGUUGUAUGUU